UGGGGAAUAUUGGACAAUGGGCGCAAGCCUGAUCCAGCCAUGCCGCGUGAGUGAUGAAUGCCCUAGGGUUGUAAAGCUCUUUCACCGGUGAAGAUAAUGACGGUAACCGGAGAAGAAGCCCCGGCUAACUUCGUGCCAGCAGCCGCGGUAAUACGAAGGGGGCUAGCGUUGUUCGGAUUUACUGGGCGUAAAGCGCACGUAGGCGGACUUUUAAGUCAGGGGUGAAAUCCCGGGGCUCAACCCCGGAACUGCCUUUGAUACUGGAAGUCUUGAGUAUGGUAGAGGUGAGUGGAAUUCCGAGUGUAGAGGUGAAAUUCGUAGAUAUUCGGAGGAACACCAGUGGCGAAGGCGGCUCACUGGACCAUUACUGACGCUGAGGUGCGAAAGCGUGGGGAGCAAACAGG
RNAcentral lists this ribosomal RNA (404 nucleotides) under Actinomycetes bacterium. RNAcentral's name for it is "Actinobacteria bacterium partial 16S ribosomal RNA". It matches the Rfam family "Bacterial small subunit ribosomal RNA", at positions 355 to 776 of the family's 1533-position model. The record is from RNAcentral. Lineage: Bacteria; Bacillati; Actinomycetota; Actinomycetes.